This 90-nucleotide transfer RNA is filed under the name Ochrobactrum sp. MYb68. RNAcentral describes it as "tRNA-Ser". The record is from RNAcentral. Lineage: Bacteria; Pseudomonadati; Pseudomonadota; Alphaproteobacteria; Hyphomicrobiales; Brucellaceae.
UGAAAUGUCGCUAAACAGGUCCAGACCCCGCACUCGAAAUGCGGCGUGGGGGUAACUCCACCGUGGGUUCGAAUCCCACCCUCUCCGCCA